Long non-coding RNA from Amblyraja radiata (thorny skate), 243 nucleotides. RefSeq lists it as uncharacterized. The record is from RefSeq and is a predicted model, not a curated record. The transcript has 3 exons. Lineage: Eukaryota; Metazoa; Chordata; Chondrichthyes; Rajiformes; Rajidae.
CUGGAGCAGAUCCCUCUCGAGGAAACCUCGCACCGAGGAUCAUCUACACUCUUCAUGGCCUCAGUAUUCUGCUGUCGGUUUUCACUCUUGGUGUCCUGGUUAUGCUGAUGAUACGGGGGUUGAGUGAAACGAAGAGGUCGGGUGCUGAUUUUCCGAUGGACAGUGUGCGAGCCGCGGGACUUCCUGAGGAGAUGAACAGUUCACUGGCCGAACUUCAUGCUGGGAUUUCACAGAUAGAUAACC